AGCUCUCGUCAAUGGUGAUUGAG
RNAcentral lists this non-coding RNA (23 nucleotides) under Arabidopsis thaliana (thale cress). Lineage: Eukaryota; Viridiplantae; Streptophyta; Magnoliopsida; Brassicales; Brassicaceae. The record is from RNAcentral.